CUCCAAGCAGCCUGGCCAGUGUCAGCUGGCAGCCGCAGACCCACUGGAAACUAUCUUCCAGCUGCCCGUGUUCGGUGCAGAAGCAUCCGAUGCUCUUUACCUCAAGGAAACCAACUGUUCUCUGUGCUCUGUCCUCUGAUCCCACCUGCACGGGAGGAGCCUCACUGUCAUUCAGUUACCUCAAACAAGUUUCUUCCUAGAUGAGACUAUUCCAUUAAAGAAAUGUUCACGUUUUAAAUACAUAUUCACCUGAUCCUCUGUCAGAGAAAGCUGACAUUUGAGACACACACGAAGCAUCAG
Herpailurus yagouaroundi (jaguarundi) is the source of this 300-nucleotide long non-coding RNA. RefSeq lists it as uncharacterized. Lineage: Eukaryota; Metazoa; Chordata; Mammalia; Carnivora; Felidae. The transcript has 3 exons. The record is from RefSeq and is a predicted model, not a curated record.